ACUGAAUGGAGGACCGAACCGACUUACGUUGAAAAGUGAGCGGAUGAACUGAGGGUAGCGGAGAAAUUCCAAUCGAACCUGGAGAUAGCUGGUUCUCUCCGAAAUAGCUUUAGGGCUAGCCUCAAGUGAUGAUUAUUGGAGGUAGAGCACUGUUUGGACGAGGGGCCCCUCUCGGGUUACCGAAUUCAGACAAACUCCGAAUGCCAAUUAAUUUAACUUGGGAGUCAGAACAUGGGUGAUAAGGUCCGUGUUCGAAAGGGAAACAGCCCAGACCACCAGCUAAGGUCCCAAAAUAUAUGUUAAGUGGAAAAGGAUGUGGCGUUGCCCAGACAACUAGGAUGUUGGCUUAGAAGCAGCCAUCAUUUAAAGAGUGCGUAAUAGCUCACUAGUCGAGUGACACUGCGCCGAAAAUGUACCGGGGCUAAACAUAUUACCGAAGCUGUGGAUUGUCCUUUGGACAAUGGUAGGAGAGCGUUCUAAGGGCGUUGAAGCAUGAUCGUAAGGACAUGUGGAGCGCUUAGAAGUGAGAAUGCCGGUGUGAGUAGCGAAAGACGGGUGAGAAUCCCGUCCACCGAUUGACUAAGGUUUCCAGAGGAAGGCUCGUCCGCUCUGGGUUAGUCGGGUCCUAAGCUGAGGCCGACAGGCGUAGGCGAUGGAUAACAGGUUGAU
This 669-nucleotide ribosomal RNA is filed under the name Staphylococcus aureus. Its description in RNAcentral is "partial 23S ribosomal RNA". It matches the Rfam family "Bacterial large subunit ribosomal RNA", at positions 761 to 1434 of the family's 2925-position model. Lineage: Bacteria; Bacillati; Bacillota; Bacilli; Caryophanales; Staphylococcaceae. The record is from RNAcentral.